UCUUCGGCAAUGGGCGCAAGCCUGACCGAGCGACGCCGCGUGCGGGAUGAAGGCCUUCGGGUUGUAAACCGCUGUCGUAGAGGAGGAAGUGCAGGGGGGUUCUCCCCUCUGUUUGACCUAUUCUAGGAGGAAGGACGGGCUAAGUUCGUGCCAGCAGCCGCGGUAAGACGAACCGUCCAAACGUUACUCGGAAUUACUGGGCUUAAAGGGUGCGUAGGCUGCGCGGAAAGUCGGGUGUGAAAGCCCUCAGCUCAACUGGGGAAUUGCACUCGAAACUACCGUGCUCGAGGGAGACAGAGGUAAGCGGAACUCAAGGUGGAGCGGUGAAAUGCGUUGAUAUCUUGAGGAACACCGGUGGCGAAGGCGGCUUACUGGGUCUCUUCUGACGCUGAGGCACGAAAGCCAAGGUAGCAAACGGGAUUAGAUACCCCGGUAGUCUUGGCUGUAAACGAUGAGCACUUGUUUGAAGGGUCCUCCAUAGCCUUUCAGACGUAGCGAAAGUGUUAAGUGCUCCGCCUGGGGA
Molecule: ribosomal RNA, 523 nt
Filed under: uncultured bacterium
Lineage: Bacteria
Description: bacterial SSU rRNA
Rfam family: Bacterial small subunit ribosomal RNA
Source: RNAcentral